Molecule: long non-coding RNA, 857 nt
Filed under: Hordeum vulgare
Lineage: Eukaryota; Viridiplantae; Streptophyta; Magnoliopsida; Poales; Poaceae
Description: long non-coding RNA (HVUL_LNC016868)
Source: RNAcentral
ACAAAUAUUGCUGGGAUUUUUUUCACAUUUUAAAAUUUAUUUUUGAUGGACAGGAGCACGUGCUCCCGGAAGCCGAAUUGCAUUUCCCGAGAAAUCAUCCAAUAACACAAGCAGAAUAUUAGGCAAAGCAGUUACUUAUGUGCGCAGCUGCUGCGACGAGUCAACAUUACAUGAGUUGGCUAAUUUCGCUCUUUAUGGGGCGACAAAACGCGACCUGCAGCGCUCGUUUGAUUGCCGGUGCAUCUGAGGCAAUAGCAGGUCGGGUAGUCAACCGGGCAGAAGCUGCCGUUGUAGCCAGCAUCUUUGCAUUGUUUGUCGCAAGCUCGAAGGUCACGGCAGCUCAGAUCCUUGGGCGCGGGGUAUGACUCGCAGCAUCGUUUUUCGUCCCCCAUAUCUACAUAACCAAACAUAAACUAAAUUGAUUAAGAGCAUAUGUAAGAGAUAAAUGCACAUGUGCAAAAGAUAUUUGAACACUUUUUUUAGUUGAGAUAUUUAAACAGUUGUGAUGUACUUUAAGUGUAGAAUGUUUGAUCUCGGUAUCAAGAUUCAGACAAAUGCAUAUAUAAACUGAAUGACCAUAUUUUGCUUGGACGGCUAUCAAUCGACAAGCUAUUUGUCAAUCUGCACAAUCGUAGUCGCUCUCACAUAAUUGUAGAAAACCUGAAUUCUUUACUUACCCGAGGACACGGCGCUUACCAACAACAAGACGAACAUGAAGUUGGCAGCGAUUUUGCAAGGCAUGAGGAAAACUAGAUUAAUAGGUGUUUGUUUCUUUGAGGUGUAGGGUAAACACCGGUGUAUAUGUCUGGUAGACUGGUAUAGCUUGCAAGCGUGGGUUUAUAAAGAACAACGAGAAG